Molecule: ribosomal RNA, 562 nt
Filed under: Tropidocyathus labidus
Lineage: Eukaryota; Metazoa; Cnidaria; Anthozoa; Scleractinia; Turbinoliidae
Description: partial 16S ribosomal RNA
Rfam family: Bacterial large subunit ribosomal RNA
Source: RNAcentral
GUAUCUAAAAGGGUUGGUAGAGCCAGCUUUAUAAAGACAAUUUAAUGGCCGCGGUAACACUGACCGUGAUAAUGUAGCGUAAUCAAUAGUCAAUUAAUUGUUGGCCGGUAUGAAUGGUGUCACGAGGGUCUCACUGUCUUAAGGAAAUUUCCAGUGAAAUUGAAUUUGUAGUGAAGAUGCUACAUCCAAAUUGUUAGACAAGAAGACCCCAUGGAACUUUACUGGAGACUUAUGUGGCUUAAAGUAAUUUACUUCUUACAAAUAAAUAGUUUUAAAAUGUGGUGUUAACCUCUCAGAUUAAUUAGGGUUAUAAAAGCUCACUCUUUUAUUUAAAGAAAGUCAACUCAAAAGUUAUGUCUUUGGGACUUGAUAAGUGGGACAGUUUGGUUGGGGCGACCGCCUUUAAAAAAGUAACGAAGGCGGGCUUAAGAUACAUAUUUAGUGAUGUCUGACUGCCAAGGGGAGAUCCUGAGCAGACACUUACUUUUUAGGUGGGUUUAAGUGACCCGUUAAUUUAGGGUGAAAUAGUUAACGAUAAACAAAUAAAAGUUACCCUGGGGAU